Molecule: ribosomal RNA, 253 nt
Filed under: uncultured bacterium
Lineage: Bacteria
Description: partial 16S ribosomal RNA
Rfam family: Bacterial small subunit ribosomal RNA
Source: RNAcentral
UACGUAGGGUGCAAGCGUUGUCCGGAAUCAUUGGGCGUAAAGAGCGUGUAGGCGGUUCGGUAAGUCGGCUGUGAAAGUCCAGGGCUCAACCCUGGGAUGCCGGUCGAUACUGCCGGACUAGAGUUCGGAAGAGGCGAGUGGAAUUCCCGGUGUAGCGGUGAAAUGCGCAGAUAUCGGGAGGAACACCAAUGGCGAAGGCAGCUCGCUGGGACGUUACUGACGCUGAGACGCGAAAGCGUGGGGAGCAAACAGG